This 57-nucleotide transfer RNA is filed under the name Bos taurus (domestic cattle). It matches the Rfam family "tRNA", at positions 8 to 63 of the family's 71-position model. Rfam says of the family: Transfer RNA (tRNA) molecules are approximately 80 nucleotides in length. Their secondary structure includes four short double-helical elements and three loops (D, anti-codon, and T loops). Lineage: Eukaryota; Metazoa; Chordata; Mammalia; Artiodactyla; Bovidae. RNAcentral also lists the same sequence under 2 other names. The record is from Rfam by way of RNAcentral.
UAGCUCAGAGGGUAAAGCGUCUGCCUACAAUGCAGGAGACCCGGGUUCGAUCCCUGG